GGUGCUCCAUUCACAUGAACCAGCUGAGGUUUUUGUUGGUGAUCUGUCUAACAAGUCAUCAAUACUGGGACUUUUCUUAAUUGUACUCUGAAAGAUGAAAUAAAACAACAACAUUAAAUUGAGGAGCUGCAGAGGGCUUGGAGCAGGAGGGUGCUCCACGGCCCCUGUGAUGGACAGUCAUGGAAAUGCUAGUCAGUGAAGAAGUUGUCAAACUCUGCAGGUCACGCUUCAAUGCUAAUGGUAUGGUAGGAAUGACACUUACCAGAAGACUGCCUAAUUCCGACAUGGCUGAAUCAUCAUCAUCACUUUCAGAUUGUCUUUGGGGUCGCUAACACAAUGAAUGAAAAUAUAUAAAAUAAAAUUUUAUUAGUUAAUUGCA
Long non-coding RNA from Actinia tenebrosa (Australian red waratah sea anemone), 379 nucleotides. RefSeq lists it as uncharacterized. The record is from RefSeq and is a predicted model, not a curated record. Lineage: Eukaryota; Metazoa; Cnidaria; Anthozoa; Actiniaria; Actiniidae.